Molecule: long non-coding RNA, 329 nt
Filed under: Lathyrus oleraceus (garden pea)
Lineage: Eukaryota; Viridiplantae; Streptophyta; Magnoliopsida; Fabales; Fabaceae
Description: Pisum sativum (pea) long non-coding RNA (PSAT_LNC032559)
Source: RNAcentral
UUCCUAACAUGGGGCUGUUUUCAAAUUCAAAAUCCGUGGCCGUUCGCCUGGCCUUCGCUAGGCGAGGCAGAAGCGAACGAGACAGUACCUGAUUUUUCUAGUCUGUUUUUUUUAUGUUUUUAUCAUAGUCAUGCAUUAUUCAUCCUAUCCUAUUUAUUAUUGUGAUAUUUCUCCGGUGUAAUCUUCGAUUGCACCCUGAUUUGGUGUUCUGACAUGUUUCUUUUUUUGAGUUUCGUAAAGGUUCACAUAUCCCAGGAAAAGGUUAUUGGCUAGGUAUUCCACUUUAUUUGUGGGAUACCCUUGUGGAGUUUCACCCUAAAUUAAUUUUU